Molecule: long non-coding RNA, 921 nt
Filed under: Rattus norvegicus (Norway rat)
Lineage: Eukaryota; Metazoa; Chordata; Mammalia; Rodentia; Muridae
Description: long non-coding RNA NONRATT011270
Source: RNAcentral
AUGCCAUUAUCUAUAGCAACAACGAGGAUUUCCAGGUUGGCCAAGCCAAGGUGGUCCUGAAGAGCAAGGACGACCAAGUGACGGUGAUCGGGGCUGGCGUAACUCUGCACGAGGCUCUGGCUGCUGCAGAGAUGUUGAAGAAAGAGAAGAUCGGCGUCCGUGUACUGGACCCCUUCACCAUCAAGCCCCUGGACAAAAAGCUCAUUCUCGACUGUGCCAGAGCAACCAAAGGCAGGAUCCUCACCGUGGAGGACCACUACUAUGAAGGUAACUGGAGCUGCACCCGACUAGCUAGGGAAGAUGAGGGGCCGGGGAGCCAAGCGGCAGACUGACUUUAAAUUCCUCCGAGGACAGUCCGCCUUUGCCACUCACGGCACUGGCAGGGGCUCAUGGGGUGGAGCAGCCAGCAACCAUGAGUUAGCUGAGUCCCUAAGCCAAAGCCUAAAGCCUCAGAGGAGGCCAGGUCUCAGCUGUGCUGUGAAGGCUCGGGGUUCUCUAACUACAGCUGAGUUCCUGGGCCUUAAUUAGAUAAGGAGGUAAAGUAGAUGUCUGGGCAGAGCAAACAGGAAAAGCAAGGUUGAGUGUCCGAGUCCUCUAGGGUACAUCCCAUUUUUACAGAAGCCUCUGAGGAAGAGAUGAGCUGAGACUCUAAGGGGGAGUGCACAACUUGUGGGAGUCAAGCUGACCGCCACCUGUACCAUACAUACAUGGUGCGCACACACACUAAAUAAAGAAGUGUUCGAAGCAUUAACUGAAGGGGCAGGAAGGACUUCACAUUCUUCCAGAGACCCCUGUUCAAUCCCUAGCACCCACACAGCAGUUCACAACCAUCUAUAGCUCCCCAGUGUCCUCUUCCUGCCUCUGAGGGCCUGGGGCAAGCAUGUGGUUCACAGACGUGCAGGCAAAACACUGGUACACAUU